This 273-nucleotide unclassified non-coding RNA is filed under the name Hevea brasiliensis (rubber tree). Lineage: Eukaryota; Viridiplantae; Streptophyta; Magnoliopsida; Malpighiales; Euphorbiaceae. The record is from RNAcentral.
GAGAACCAACAAUGGAAAGUUAAAUUUGAAGGAGGCAAUCACUGCUUGCUGGUAGAAACCAACAUUAGAAGCAAUGUAAUUUAUAAGCAACUAGGUUAACAAAUAGAUAUUUCAUAAUGGCUCCCACUAGCAAUGGGGUGGAGGACAUAAUGACAAAUCAAGUAGACAUAAAAAAAUGUUCCUUCUUCAUUAUUCCAUCAUUUGUUGCCAUUUUCUUGCUCUUUGUUUUAUAUGUAAACAAAGCCACCCAAUUGGUAAUACACCCGAUUCAAG